This 663-nucleotide ribosomal RNA is filed under the name uncultured bacterium. Its description in RNAcentral is "bacterial SSU rRNA". It matches the Rfam family "Bacterial small subunit ribosomal RNA", at positions 790 to 1482 of the family's 1533-position model. The record is from RNAcentral.
GUAGUCCACGCCGUAAACGAUGGAUACUAGCUGUUGGAGGUAUCGACCCCUUCAGUAGCGAAGCUAACGCGUUAAGUAUCCCGCCUGUGGAGUACGGUCGCAAGACUAAAACAUAAAGGAAUUGACGGGGACCCGCACAAGCGGUGGAUCGUGUUCUUUAAUUCGAUGAUAAACGAAGAACCUUACCAGGGUUUGACAUCCUUGGAAUUUCUGUGAAAGCAGAGAGUGCUUUAUUGAGCCAAGUGACAGGUGAUGCAUGGCCGUCGUCAGCUCGUGUCGUGAGAUGUUUGGUUAAGUCCAUCAACGAGCGCAACCCUUGUGAUUAGUUGUAUUUUUCUAAUCAGACUGCCCCGGUAACGGGGAGGAAGGAGGGGAUGAUGUCAGGUCAGUAUUUCCCUUACACCCUGGGCUAGAAACACGAUACAAUGGUUAGUACAAUGCGCAGCGAAGCCGCGAGGUGGAGCAAAUCGCAUCAAAGCUAAUCUCAGUUCGGAUAAGAGGCUGAAACUCGCCUCUUUGAAGUCGGAAUCGCUAGUAAUCGCAGAUCAGCAAGCUGCGGUGAAUACGUUCCCGGGUCUUGUACACACCGCCCGUCAAACCAUGAAAGCCACCAACACCCGAAGUCCGAUUCGUCGGCCUAAGGUGGGGGGGAUGAUUGGGGUU